This 505-nucleotide ribosomal RNA is filed under the name uncultured bacterium. RNAcentral's name for it is "partial 16S ribosomal RNA". It matches the Rfam family "Bacterial small subunit ribosomal RNA", at positions 28 to 507 of the family's 1533-position model. The record is from RNAcentral.
GACGAACGCUGGCGGCGUGCCUAAUACAUGCAAGUAGAACGCACAGUUUAUACCGUAGCUUGCUACACCAUAGACUGUGAGUUGCGAACGGGUGAGUAACGCGUAGGUAACCUGCCUGGUAGCGGGGGAUAACUAUUGGAAACGAUAGCUAAUACCGCAUAAUAUUAAUUAUUGCAUGAUAAUUAAUUGAAAGGUGCAAUUGCACCACUACCAGAUGGACCUGCGUUGUAUUAGCUAGUAGGUGAGGUAACGGCUCACCUAGGCGACGAUACAUAGCCGACCUGAGAGGGUGAACGGCCACACUGGGACUGGGACACGGCCCAGACUCCUACGGGAGGCAGCAGUAGGGAAUCUUCGGCAAUGGACGAAAGUCUGACCGAGCAACGCCGCGUGAGUGAAGAAGGGUUUCGGAUCGUAAAGCUCUGUUGUAAGAGAAGAACGGGUGUGAGAGUGGAAAGUUCACACUGUGACGGUAUCUUACCAGAAAGGGACGGCUAACUACGUG